This 515-nucleotide ribosomal RNA is filed under the name uncultured bacterium. Its description in RNAcentral is "bacterial SSU rRNA". It matches the Rfam family "Bacterial small subunit ribosomal RNA", at positions 791 to 1304 of the family's 1533-position model. The record is from RNAcentral.
UAGUCCACACCGUAAACGGUGAGAGCUCGUCGUAGUGGGUAUUGACCCCUGCUGUGACCAAGUUAACGCAUGAAGCUCUCCGCCUGGGAAGUACGGUCGCAAGACUAAAACUCAAAGAAAUUGACGGGGGCCCGCACAAGCGGUGGAGCAUGUUGUUUAAUUCGAAGCAACGCGCAGAACCUUACCUGGAUUUGACAUCGACAGAACCUUUUGGAGACAGAAGGGUGCCUUCGGGCCUGGAAAACAGGUGCUGCAUGGCUGUCGUCAGCUCGUGUUCGUGAGAUGUUGGGUUAAGUCCCGUAACGAGCGCAACCCUUGUCCUUAGUUGCCAGCACGUGAUGGUGGGGACUCUAAGGAGACUGCCGGUGACAAACCGGAGGAAGGUGGGGACGACGUCAAGUCAUCAUGGCCCUUAUGGGUAGGGCUACACACGUGCUACAAUGGGCAGUACAGAGGGUUGCGAAGCCGCGAGGUGAAGCUAAUCUCAGAAAACUGUUCGUAGUCCGGAUUGCACU